This is an RNA transcript of Maniola jurtina (meadow brown), 1581 nucleotides long. RefSeq lists it as uncharacterized. The record is from RefSeq and is a predicted model, not a curated record. NCBI's taxonomy places the organism in Eukaryota, Metazoa, Arthropoda, Insecta, Lepidoptera, Nymphalidae. The transcript is spliced from 10 exons.
UCACUGCGAGUUUGAGAAUUUUAUAAGUAUAUUGUUAUCUAUUUUGCUAAAUAAUCACCAUUUUAGCUGCUGUCGGGGUUUAUUUGAAAGUGAAACAGACAUAAAAUGUGUUAGCACAAAUAAUGCUAGCUGCUAGAACCACAGCUGGGCGCUGGCUAUGAACAAUAUUGGAGGUGUAUAGAAUCUGAAGCCGUUGGCGAUAGGAAAACUACUAAGUUAAAUGCUAAAUGCAGGUUACGCAGGAAGAUACAAAUAGCUGUAAAAGAGUUGGAGUGGAAGAGCAUUUAAUAAAAUUUAAACCAUCGCCAAAUUUUAAAAAUAUGAAAAAAUUCAUAAAGUCGCGUUCGGAGACCACCACUUCGGGAGCUCCUGUACCAGUUGCGCUGAGUGCCCCGGUUCCACCGCCACCUCCAAACUUGAGCAGAAUGGAUCUUCGUCCGGACUGGCAGAGGCCUGAAGUUCAGCCUCCUUUGCCUACGUAUCCCCCACCACAAGACUUCAUCCCUAAUCUUCAAGUCAAAGAAGAAGUCGUGGAUACAGAAUAUGAGACCAACAAUGUCUCUCAGGCACAAGGAGGCCAAGAAGAAACCCCUUCAGACCAAAACAGUGAACAGUCCAGUAGCGAAAUAUGCAGGGAUUUCAUACGGGGAACCUGCAAAAGAGAAGGGACCUGUAAAUAUGCCCACAAACAUGAUUUAUCACAACUGGAAGGAGUGUACACCUUCUGCAGAAAGUUUCAAAAUUCAGUGUGCACUUUUGCAAAUUGCAAGUAUGUGCAUGCCACUGUGUUUGAAGAGCAGAAUUUCUACAGGACUGGAGUUUUGCCCGCGCAUGCUUUGCACCACAAAGUGAAUAACAUGCUACAGCCCCCUCCACCGCCUCCACCUGAAGAACCUGUAGCGCCAUUCAACGUAGACUUUUCGAAUCCACCACCUAUUUUACGAACCGAAACAGAAAAACCGAUGAUAAGUUGUAUUCCGGAAAGUUCCAUGGCAAGUUCUACGGCAAGUUCUAUGGAGGCACCAUGUUACAUGGGAGAAAUACAUAACCAAAUGCCUUUGCCUACACAAACUCAAAUGUCUUCCUUAAAACGGGAUUGGAAUAACAUGGAGGCAUACGCAGCGCCACCGUGCGACGACGCCUACACUGAACCACUGGCAAAAAAAUGCAAACAUUGUUAUUUCACGGAGUUCAGGUUGGAGCACAAUAAGACCAAGUUAAAAAAAAUGAUCCAGAAAAAGGAGCAGAUGAGCAAGAAAAUGGCGCAGUUGGAUAAGCAGACCGAAAAGCUUCGCAGUCUCAUAUCGGAGUUGCUCAGACCCACGAUAUCAUCCAAGGCACAGCCCCACAAUAUGAAUGGCCCCUCUGUAGAUAGAGACACAACUAUUCAGAUGAUGCUAGAACAGCUGAAAAACUUUUUGGGUGACGAUAAAUAAUAUUUAAGGUGGCAAGUGACGAUGCAGUGUAUGAUGGAAGCGGGCUAACCUGGAAGGGAAUUGAACGGACUGAACGAGUCCUUUGGGAAGUUUGAUGACCGCCCCGCUAUAGGUGUUACCGACAGUCCUCUGUGCAGGGCCUGCA